CUCUUCGGGGAUGAUUAAACCGGCGCACGGGUGAGUAACACGUGAGUGACCUGCCUUUUAGACUGGAACAACUUACCGAAAGGUGAGCUAAUGCCGGAUGAGUUAUAUAAGUGCAUGUUUAUAUAGGAAAAGUUGGGGAGACCUGACGCUGAAAGAUGGACUCGCGUCCCAUUAGCUAGUUGGUAGGGUAAUGGCCUACCAAGGCGACGAUGGGUAGCCGGCCUGAGAGGGUGGCCGGCCACACUGGGACUGAGACACGGCCCAGACUCCUACGGGAGGCAGCAGUGGGGAAUUUUGCGCAAUGCUCGUAAGAGUGACGCAGCGACGCCGCGUGAAUGACGAAGGCCUUCGGGUCGUAAAGUUCUUUCGACAGGGAAGAAAAUGCCUAUAAGUAACUGUGUAUGUAUUGACGGUACCUGUAUAAGCAGCCCCGGCUAACUCCGUGCCAGCAGCCGCGGUAAUACGGAGGGGGCGAGCGUUGUUCGGAGUGACUGGGCGUAAAGAGCACGUAGGCGGUGUUGUAAGUCAUUAGUCAAAGACUAGAGCUCAACUUUAGUAAGGCUAGUGAUACUAUAAUACUAGAGUAUCAGAGAGGAUUGCAGAAUUCCUGGUGUAGCGGUGAAAUGCGUAGAUAUCAGGAGGAAUACCGUUAGCGAAGGCGGCAAUCUGGCUGGAAACUGACGCUGAGGUGCGAAAGCGUGGGUAGCAAACAGGAUUAGAUACCCUGGUAGUCCACGCUGUAAACGAUGGAUGCUANGUGUUGGGCUUUUAAGUUCAGUGCCGCAGCAAANGCGA
Molecule: ribosomal RNA, 795 nt
Filed under: uncultured bacterium
Lineage: Bacteria
Description: bacterial SSU rRNA
Rfam family: Bacterial small subunit ribosomal RNA
Source: RNAcentral